AGUGUAGGUAUUGGGUAGGAUUAAGGAUGUAGAUUAUGGUCAUGCAAUAUAUGUGCUUUAUCAGUACUAAUAAGCAGCCAAUGUGCUAGUAAUAGGCAUGCUAAUAAG
Sinocyclocheilus anshuiensis is the source of this 108-nucleotide long non-coding RNA. RefSeq lists it as uncharacterized. The transcript has 3 exons. The record is from RefSeq and is a predicted model, not a curated record. NCBI's taxonomy places the organism in Eukaryota, Metazoa, Chordata, Actinopteri, Cypriniformes, Cyprinidae.